This 306-nucleotide unclassified non-coding RNA is filed under the name plant metagenome. RNAcentral describes it as "partial contains 5.8S ribosomal RNA, internal transcribed spacer 2, and large subunit ribosomal RNA". The stretch from base 1 to 105 matches the Rfam family "5.8S ribosomal RNA", at positions 50 to 154 of the family's 154-position model. The record is from RNAcentral.
GAAAUGCGAUAAGUAAUGUGAAUUGCAGAAUUCAGUGAAUCAUCGAAUCUUUGAACGCACAUUGCGCCCGCCAGUAUUCUGGCGGGCAUGCCUGUCCGAGCGUCAUUUCAACCAUCAAGCCCCCGGGCUUGUGUUGGGGACCUGCGGCUGCCCGCAGGCCCUGAAAAUCAGUGGCGGGCUCGCUGUCACACCGAGCGUAGUAGCAAUCACCUCGCUCAGGGCGUGCUGCGGGUUCCGGCCGUUAAACAGCCUUACAAAACCCAAGGUUGACCUCGGAUCAGGUAGGAAGACCCGCUGAACUUAAGC